AUAAGACCCUUCUUCGGAACACGAAAACAGGUGCUGCAUGGUUGUCGUCAGCUCGUGUCGUGAGAUGUUAGGUUAAGUCCUGCAACGAGCGCAACCCUCAUAUACAGUUGCCAAUAUUCAGUUAGGAACUCUGUAUAGACUGCCGUGGUUAACACGGAGGAAGGUGGGGAUGACGUCAAAUCAUCACGGCCCUUACGGCCUGGGCUACACACGUGCUACAAUGGCUAUUACAAAGAGUUGCAAUACAGUAAUGUGGAGCGAAUCUCAAAAAGAUAGUCUCAGUUCGGAUUGUGGGCUGCAACCCGCCCACAUGAAGUCGGAGUUGCUAGUAAUCCCGAAUCAGCAUGUCGGGGUGAAUGCGUUCCCGGGUCUUGUACACACCGCCCGUCACGCCAUGGGAGUUGGGAGUGCCCAAAGUCGGUGACCUAACCGCAAGGAAGGAGCCGCCUAAGGUAAUACCAAUGACUGGGGUGAAGUCGUAACAAGGUAGCCGUAUCGGAAGGUGCGGC
RNAcentral lists this ribosomal RNA (509 nucleotides) under uncultured bacterium. Its description in RNAcentral is "bacterial SSU rRNA". It matches the Rfam family "Bacterial small subunit ribosomal RNA", at positions 1006 to 1518 of the family's 1533-position model. The record is from RNAcentral.